UAUAAGGGAUUUUGAGUUUUUGUUUGCAAUGUUUGAUCACUCGUCUUAUUUAAUUUUUUUUUGAAAUUAUUAUUUAUUUUAUUUGUGACUUGCUUUAUUAUCUACACUACUUUAAGCAUAACUUUUCGUUUUUUAUAUUUGCAAAAGUAAUUUUAAUAAGAUGAGUGGUCAAACGUUGUAAGCAAAAACUCAAAAUCACUUAUA
This 204-nucleotide microRNA precursor is filed under the name Oryza meridionalis. RNAcentral describes it as "MIR812 microRNA precursor family". It matches the Rfam family "MIR812 microRNA precursor family". Lineage: Eukaryota; Viridiplantae; Streptophyta; Magnoliopsida; Poales; Poaceae. The record is from Rfam by way of RNAcentral.